GACGAACGCUGGCGGCGUGCUUAACACAUGCAAGUCGAACGGAAAGGCCCUGCUUUUGUGGGGUGCUCGAGUGGCGAACGGGUGAGUAACACGUGAGUAACCUGCCCUUGACUUUGGGAUAACUUCAGGAAACUGGGGCUAAUACCGGAUAGGAGCUCCUGCUGCAUGGUGGGGGUGGGAAAGUUUCGGCGGUUGGGGAUGGACUCGCGGCUUAUCAGCUUGUUGGUGGGGUAGUGGCUUACCAAGGCUUGGAAGGGUAGCCGGCCUGAGAGGGUGACCGGCCACAUUGGGACUGAGAUACGGACCAGACUCCUACGGGAGGCAGCAGUGGGGAAUAUUGCACAAUGGGCGGAAGCCUGAUGCAGCAACGCCGCGUGCGGGAUGACGGCCUUCGGGUUGUAAACCGCUUUCGCCUGUGACGAAGCGUGAGUGACGGUAAUGGGUAAAGAAGCACCGGCUAACUACGUG
Molecule: ribosomal RNA, 468 nt
Filed under: uncultured bacterium
Lineage: Bacteria
Description: partial 16S ribosomal RNA
Rfam family: Bacterial small subunit ribosomal RNA
Source: RNAcentral